This 2259-nucleotide ribosomal RNA is filed under the name Triticum aestivum (bread wheat). RNAcentral's name for it is "partial small subunit ribosomal RNA". The record is from RNAcentral. Lineage: Eukaryota; Viridiplantae; Streptophyta; Magnoliopsida; Poales; Poaceae.
AUGGGGCGUCACCGUUUCAGGAGGCGCCCUCCGACCCCCUCCUCCUCCUCCUCCUCCUCUUCCUCCUCGUCGGAGCUCGACGACAUGCUGCCGGUGGGCGCGGAGGUGGAGGUGCGCAACGAGGACCCGGGCUUCGCCGGCUCCUUCUACGAGGCCACCGUCGCGGCCCACCUCCCCUCCUCCCCCUCCUCCUCCGACCGCGGCGGCAACAAAUGCUACACGGUGGUCUACUCCACGCUGGAGAGCGACGACGGCGAGCCCCUCCAGGAGGCCGCGGCGGCCGCCUCCGUGCGCCCCCGCCCCCCACGCGCCGCGCCGAGGCGGUUCGCGGUGCACGACAUGGUGGAGGCGCUGCACAGCGAGGGGUGGUGGGCCGGCGUCGUCUCCGCCGUCGCCCCGGCGCCUGCGGUGGCCGGAGGGGAUCUGCGGCGCCGGCCGAGGCGGGUGUACCAGGUCGCGUUCCCCACGUCGCGGGAGACGAUCGAGUUCCAGGAGGCGGACCUCCGGCCGCACCGCGAGUUCGUCGCCGGCCGCUGGGUCCCAGCUGCCAAGGCGGACAAUGCAUCUCCUUCUUUCAGCGAGGGAGACCAAGUUGAAGUGAGUCAGUCUGGAACGAACUUUGGCGAAUCCUGGAAUCCAGCUAGUGUUCUUAAAGUGAUUGGUGCUACAAAUUUCUUAGUAAAGUACAUGCACAAUGGGAAAGACGGGAAAUCAGCUACCGAGAUUCUGGAUUCUCAGUAUAUCCGGCCAGCACGGUCCAUCACCCGUAUUGACUCAAAGUACAGAUUUUCUCCUUCUUCUCAUGUUGAGGUCCUUCAUGAAGAUAGCUGGUGGCCUGGUGUUAUUCUGAAGGUCUUAGGUACUGGAAUCGACAAGAAGUAUGUAGUAAUGUUGGACUGUCACAAGACAGAUCUUGAUGAGAUCGAUAUGGAUGCGCUGAGGGUUGAAAUUACGCAGCUCAGGCCACUGUGUGACUGGGACGGUGAAAAAUGGGUACCCUGCUUGAAGAAGGAAUCUGCAAAAAGGCCAAUUUCCGCUGCCUUGGAUAAUGACUCGGAUAAAAUCAGUGACGAACCUGGUUCUCAUGUGGACAAAAAGAAGUUGAAGAAUGCGGAUGUGAUACCAGAACAAAUUUCUCCCCUUUUGUCUGUUGGUAAAGAAAACAUUGAAAUUACUCGUAAGCAAGGAAAUGCAGUAUUGGCACCAAGGUCUGAGUUGUCACCUCCUUCACUGCCACCAAUGUCAUCAUUUGGCCGUCUGAGUUCUUCAUCUUCACCUGCUACAAGUUGUCAUCUUGCACAAUCAUCUUCUCACAUUCAGGCUUCGUUGUUUGGAGCGUUUGGACAAUCAAGGCCUAUUCCACAGGGCCUGCCAUUAGGAACGCGGUCGCUUAUUAGCUCAUUUUUUACUGGUAUUGAAGGGUCAAAAAGAGUAUUAAGCGAUCCGGAUAAGCAGUCCACUGCUGGAACUGGGACUGAACCGUUCAGACAAAUGGAGGGAUGUGUUUCUUUACAAACAGCAGUGCCUGUAGGGGAGAAGCCUGAAACUCCAAUGGAAAGGAUAGAUGCUAAAGCCAUUGAAGAAGGCAGCAAUGUUGUCUCUGUCUCUGAAGACCGUUCACAAUCACACCAAGGUAAUGCAACACAUGAUUCUUGCUGUCCUUUGUCUGCGGAAUAUGUGGCUGUGCAUGAGAGUAUCAUGCGCACAAGUGGCCAGCUUUCAGAAUCCUCGGCAAUCCAGCAUCUUCCAAUUGUGAAGACCUCCCCAUUGUGGGCACAGCUUGAGGCACUGGAGAUAUUCAGGACAACGCCACAGCGGCCAAAUCUCCAUCAGUUUCAGCAGCACGUUCCAGAGCUCCAUGAAGGACUGGCACUAGGUCUGAUGAUCUCUUUUGCUGAUCUGGCAGAAAGCAUAAACAGGCUAGGUGUUCAGGACGACAAUGAGCUCCUCGAGCGGAAGAUGGAGUGCCUGGCUUAUCUCGAGGCAAGUGGUUUCGAUGUCGGGGACCUGAGAUCGCGCGUGGAAGCUUUAAUUCGCAUGAAAAAGCUGGAGGAGGAGAUUGCUCGCGAAGAAGCCGACGACCGAGAACUGGGCACGCAACUUCGCGCCCUGGCUAUGGCUGUCCAUCACCUUGAACUGCAUGCCUAUCUUGUGCGCAAUGUGAUAAGGUCUACCGUCGCACGGAGGAUGAACAAUGCCAUGGAGAUCUCGAGGCUCAAGGCAGAAGCGAACAAUCUAUCCACCGCAAUGCCACGGUGA